UAGAAUCAUAAACAUGGAAUAAAUUGAUAAUCAACAUAAAUCCUUCAAAACCCACAAACAUUCAUUGGUUUUCAGCCAAAGUCAACCAAAUAAGAGUAUUAGCCACUCAUGGCAACAAAGUAACAAGAACAAUAAUCUAAUUGCAUAAAGAAACUACCUAAGAUUUGGAAAGAUGAAAGGAAAUGAUUUCUAGCUCCCAAAAUCGCCUCUUGCAGGUCUCCAAUGGUGGAAAAACGUGAAUGAGCCUCUAGAUCUGAUCCCCAAGGGUUAUGGUGAGCCAAAUGACCAAAAUGCCCAAACUGGGCAGUUGCGCGGGUACCCGCGCGACGAAAAUUCCACCCGCGCAAAUGUUGCUAUAAUGCUAUUGGUCCACCAAGCCACUCCACCCUUCCACUACCAAAGAUUCCUUUGGUCCCCCCUCCCUUGUCCAUGUAAUUUGAAAUGCACCAAUCAUCAUUUAGCCACCAAAUGGAUGCUCCAAGCCCAAAAUUAGAAUUUUAUGAUCCAUCUUCACAAGCCCAAAUAAUCCAAGCCAAUAACUUUCAAAGCCCAAUUCUUCUUCUUUGAUUCCGCCAAGCCCAAUAAUGCCUCGGGAGCCCACUAAGCCCGUCUCCAAUCAACCCGCAACCGCAACAAGCACCGAAAAACCUACAAAAUAUCUCAUGCAACAUAACAAGCACCCGGUAUGAUCCAUACUAAAGAAAAAUAAAUAAAUUACAAUGCAUUAAUGAUAAAAAGAUCUAAAAAUCUAAAAUAAACUAAUAAAAAUAAGGAAAUAAAAUAAGCUAUCAAAUCACCCCAAGCUUAAACCUAACUUGUCCUCAAGUUAGAACAAGACUAAAAAUGAGCUCGGGAUGAACUAUCUAAAAAGGAAAAAGAAAGAUACCAUAGAACUUGGUCAACAUCAGUCAACAUGGUCAGAAUUAGUCCUUCAAUGGACCCUACGCAUCUUCAAAAUGUUCCCCGCUUUAGAACCAUAAACCACAUUCUUAACCACUUGAUGGGCGAAUAGAUCACGGCUGGAUGCGGUCGCGGUGUGCAAGACAAAGGAAACAGAGAUGCGCCCAGUGGGGGCACUUUAAAUCACCAAUGUAGACCAUAGUGCACGAAGGAAAGGCGCCUCUUCACACACUAUGAUUCCUACAUUUGUCAGGCCAAAGUGUAUAAUAACGAAAUAGGGUUUUGCAGCACGGCCUCCGGGCAAACAUCCGGUUUCAGAGGCUUCUCCCUUGUACUGUCCUUUACAGUCUACCGUCUCAUCGUCGGGGCCUUUUCUCACCAAAAAUCAAAAAUAAAAUAAAAUAAAAUAAAAAAAACUCUACUUAACCUAAAUCUAAACCUAACAACCUAAAUCUUCAAUCUUGAACUUCUGUUAUUGGGUCUUCAAUCACAUUUGCUGCUUGACACUUUUUUUAACUAGAUAUAUAACAUAAGUCUUGAACUUGGAACCUUGUUCUUCUUUUUGUGUUGCUCUUUUUCUUCAUUUUUCUUCUUUGUUUUUGUUGCUUUUCUUGAAUCAUCUUUAAUAGGCUCUUAUUUUCUUCACUUUUUCAAAUUUCUUCAUUCUUUGUGUUGCUUCUUGGAAGGUCUAAGGAAUUUCACCAAGUAACAUAGGACUCCAAUAGUGAAAAUUGAGUGAUAGAUAGAGGCUAAUAUGAACACCUAAUGAUCAUUGACAAUGUGCCAAGAUCAACUAAAAAGGGUGGGGAAUGACUCAAAAAUGGGUGUUACCGAAAAGACUUGGUCCCAAAAGAUGUGAAUUGGGGGACCCACUUCAAAGUUCAUCAAGCACCUCAAUGCAAGGUGUGAUAAACAAAAUCUAUCUAACUAUCUACUCUAGACCCCUAGAAAAAUGAUAACCUAUCCUAAAAAGGCGGUGAGAAUCUAACUAAGCAAGGCUCGGACGAGACUCGGGAGUACUAAGGGGUACUCCCUCCAAAACCAAGAUGCGAGUCUUCAAUAUCUUCAAUGUCUUCAAAAUACCUUACCGGGCUAGUCUUUGCUCGCACACAUUGGCAUGACCAACCACAUCCCUCCGCACCUAGACCCAAUCAAGCUACCUGCAUCUGACCCCCACACAAGCGGUCUCAAAGUGGUCUGUGAGGCUCAAAACGUGUCCCAUUUAUCAAAUACAAGGAAUUCCAUAUCAAGACCCGGGACCAAUCUAUGAUUCAAUACUUAUGACUCGGCGCUAUGGUACCUGUAGGGAUGAGAAGACAAGAGAGAACAAAAAUGCAUGAACCUAACCUAGAAUGCAUCUAAAAAGUAUGAAAAUUAGAAAAGAAAGAAACAAAAUAUGCAAUAUUUUUUUUUGAAUUUUUUUUUGCAUUUUUUAUGAAUGCCCUAAAUGACUAACUCUAAAUGCAACUAUAUACAACCUAAAUGCAAUAAAAAUAAAAGAUUAGAUUACCUCACCCCAAGCUUAAAAUUAAGCAUUGUCCUCAAUGCUUAGGAUGAGAGUAAGGAAGGAUCAUACCGGGAUCAAGGUGGAGGAGGCCCGCGAGGACGGUAUGGAAGCAACACAUGGGUCGCAUAAUGAUGCUUGGAUGGAGUUCUUGGCCGCCUAAAUACACAUGGAUGAAAGCUUGGUCGCGCAAAGGACGCAUAUGAAAUGGCUCGAAAUUUUCUUAUGAAAUGACAUAUUUGCGCGGGUACCCUCGCAAACUUUGCGCGGGUGGGGGGCAGCCGCACGCACAUGUCAGAAUACAUCCCAUGUUGGGGUAAUUUGGAACUCGGAAUCUGCGCGGCUGGGGGUCGGUCGCGCAACGGCUGCGCGGGCACCCGCGCGCAACAAUCAGAGAGCACCCCAUGUUGGUGUAAUUUGGAACUCGGGACCUGCGCGGCUGGGGUCGGUCGCGCAAAGUCUGCGCGGGCACCCGCGCAAAAGUCAAAUUUUUGGAAUUUUUCAAACUUCACCAAAAUCACUAGAAGACUUCUAUAUGCUUAUUUUUAGGCCAACUUCAAGUUUAGAAACACCCAAAACUUCAAGCGGAGAUUAUUUAUUCACAAUGCAUUUAUUUAACGUCUUUGCCAAGACAUAGCCCCGCUUCCGUCAACCUUCGUAAAUCGGUGUUUCCAUUGUUACGUUGUCGAAUUCUCCCGUGUCAAAGCCUUCAUAAAAUAGUUUCAAAUGGUGCCCAUUCACUUUGAAGAUUUGGUUUGUUUCCAAACUCUUGAUUUCAACCACACUAGGAUCAAACACUUUUAUAACAAUAAAAGGUCCAUGCCAUCGAGAUCGCAAUUUUCCCGGGAAUAGCUUUAAGCGUGAAUGAUAAAGAAGAACUUUUUGACCCGGAAUAAAGUGUUUUUGGGUUAUGUGCUUGUCAUGAAAUGCCUUUUUCUUCUCUUUGCACCUUUUGAACCUUUUAAUUAUCUUCUUCUUGACCACUUCCAUCAUUGGAGGAUCCAAUCUUCUUUGAGGUUCCCUCUUAGGAUUACAAUCAUCUUCCAUGAUUAUCUUGUCUGUGCAUACAUUAGGGCUUAUCCUAUUUAUUGGCUCAAUCACAUCAACCCGAUACAAUGGAGAAAUGUUACUAGGGUACCUCAUUCCUUCAAAGAUGUUGAAGUGAAUGGUUUCUCCAUCAAACUCCAUAGUUAUCUUUCCUUUAUGGACAUCAAUGAUUGUGUGAGCGGUAUGCAUGAAAGGUCUUCCAAGGAGGAUCAUAGAUGAUUUGGAAGGAGUCUUCUCUUCAAGAUCAAUGACAUAAAAAUCCGCCGGAAAAACAAGUUGAUUAACUUGUACUAACACAUCCUCCAACACUCCUCUUGGAGACACACUUGACUUGUCUGCUAAUUGAAUGAUUACUCCAGUUUCUUCCAAAGGUCCAACAUUGAGAGAUUGAAAAACCGAAUAUGGCAUCACAUUGAUCGAGGCUCCAAGAUCUAACAUGGCACUUUCGACAUGCAAAUCACCAAUGGUACAAGGGAUAGAAAAUAUUCCCGGACCCUUGCAUUUGGGAGGUAACUUCUUUUGGAUAACUGCAGACACAUUUGCAUUGACUUGAAUCUUUUCAUUUGCCUUGAGUUUUCUCUUCUUGGUGCAUAAAUCCUUGAGGAAUUUUGCAUAACUUGGAAUUUGCUUAAUAGCAUUCAAUAGUGGAAUGUUGAUUUGGACCUUGCGAAAAGUUUCAAAUAAUUCAUUUUCUUCCUCUAUCUUCUUGGAAAAGGCUAACCGGGAAGGGAAGGGAGGUGGUAUGACCAAUGGUUUGAUGGGUUUGUUGGAAGAGUCGGGUUGAUCAACGUUUGGCACAACCGGUUCCUUUGGAGGAGCUACAACUUUUGAAGGUUCAACCAUGAUGACUUCAUCUUCUUCUUCUCUUGAAACUCUUUUAGGGUUGCUUUCUCCGAGUGUUUUCCCACUUCUUAAAGUUAUUGCACUCACAUUGGGGUUCUUCUCGGUUUGAGAUGGAAGUCUACCCCUUUGUUCUAUCUUGUUGAUAGCGGUGGCCAAGUCUCCGAUUUGUGCUUGAAUGUUUGAGAAAGUGUUCUUGGUCUCUUGUUGAAAUUGGGUUUGACUUUGAGCAAGAGAAGUAACAAGUUCUUGAAGGCUCAUUUGAUGGGUACCACUUGAUUGGCCUUGUUGUGGAGGUUGUUGGUAAUUUGGAGGGUUAUAAGAAGUUUGUGGAUAUGGAGGUUUUUGGGAUUGGUAUUGUGGAUGUUGGGGUCUCAUCAAAAGAUUUGGUGGAUUUUGCUUUGGUGGAUAAGGGUUGUUUUGGUUAUUCCUCCAAUUUGGGUUGAAAUUGUUUUGAAAUCCCAUGGGUCUUGGUUGACCUUGAUAUCCGCCCAUUGCAUUCACAUCUUCCGGUUCACUUCCAAGUGUGGGACACUUAUCCGUAUAAUGGCCCGUCAUUGCACAAAUACCACAUACCAUCAAUUGUUGACCACUUCCCACCACCAUUUGACUUAACACAUUAGUCAAAUCCAAGAGCUUUGAUUCCAAGUGUUGAGUGUUGCUAACUUCACCAACCACUUGUGUAGAAUUUCUCUUCAUGUCAUUUCGAGUCCCAAAAUUCCUUUGAUUUUGAGAAAUGGUACCAAAAAGUAAUCGGAUUUCGUGAGGGGUUUUGUUGAAGAUGUCACCACCACUUGAAGCAUCAAUCAUCCUCCGAUCUUUUUCAUUCAUACCCUCAUAAAAUUGUUGAAGAAGUAGUUGUUCGGGUAUAUUGUGUUGAGGACAACUUGUACACAAAUUGUUGAAGCGCUCCCAAAAAUCAUGAAAUGUUUCAUUUUCCCCUUGACGAAUCCCCAAAAUGUCACUUCUUUGACUUGAAAUGCGGGAGGUGGGAUAGAAUUUGCUAUUGAAGGCCUUGAGUAACUCUUCCCAUGUGUGAAUAGAUCCCGGUGGUAAGUUGAAUAACCACUCUCUAGCUUUGUCUUCCAAGGUGAGCGGGAAUGCGGUUAACUUGAAAUCAUCCAAUGUCACAUUGUCGGGCAACAUGCUAACACAUAUCAUAUGAAAGGACUUCAAAUGCUUUUGAGGAUCUUCUCUAUCCAACCCAUGGAAUUUGGUUAGUUGAUGGAUGAAACUUGACUUCAAUUCAAUCCCUCGGCGGUUUGCGGGAUAAACAAUAGCAAGAGGUGUAUGAGUAACAUCCGUUUCCAUCAUUUGUCUAAGUGUCAACUCUUGAGGGGGAUUGGGUGGAUUGGGGUUAUUGGGAUAUUGUUGCAAGUAAUUGGGUGGUUGAUGAUAAGGUGGAUAUGGGUAUUGUUGGGGAUUGUAGAUUGGUGGUGGAUAAGGUUGGUAGUUAGGGUAUUGGUUGUAAGGAGGUUGUUGUUGUGGGUACAUUGGGUUUUGGUACAUUGGAGGGUGUUGGUAAUUGGGUUGAUUUGGGUAAUGUACUUGUUGAACUUGAAAAGCAUUGUUUUGAGGUUGGUUGUUUUGGUGGAAGUGUUGGUUUUGUAGUUGUGGUGGUGGUUGAUAAUUGGGUUGGUUUUGAGGAGGGGCUUGAUUCCAAGGUGGCAUAUCAAUGAGAGGUUCUUGUGGUUGUUGUCUUGGUUGAUGGGGUGGGGUAUUGGCAUCUUGAUUGAUUGGGUUUGGGUUGGGAUUGUGAGGUGGAGUGUGAUUCAUGGCUAUGUGGUUUUCAAACGGAAUGUCUUCAAAGGAAUGACCAACAAUUGGAGAACUCGGUUCGGUGUCGGUAUCACUUGAAGUAUGAACUUGAUCUUCUAUGUUGAUUAGUGGAGAAGAGGAAGAAGCUUGAACUAGUUGUUGUUGCUUUGCUUGUUUGGCUAACUUUUUCAACCUUUUUGCUUCUCUUUCAAUUUCCGGAUUGUAGAGUAGUUCACCGGUUCUUGUAGACCUAGGCAUAAACAAUCAAAUAACAAUAACCAAUUUCCCCGGCAACGGCGCCAAAACUUGAUGGGAUGUCAAGCCCACCAAGCAAAUUACACCCUUUGAUUGCUAAAUAAACGUAAUAUAAUGGUAAAAAGGGGUAUCGAUCCUCGGGGAAAUGGUUGUAUUCAAUCACCAAUGCAAUUCAAUAGAACUAGUGAAAUUAAACUAAUUAACUACAAUUAAACUAAAAGGGGGGUUUUUUGAUUACUUGAAAACUAAAAUACUUGAAUAACUAAAAACCUUGCAAUUAAGCAAGUUGAUGAGAUGCUCAAAGGUUGGAAAUAAUUGGUUAACUAAGGCAAUUCAACACAAUGAACAUUUGUGUGUUUAUCAUUAGGAUCUAAUACAAAGCUUAUCCUUCAUCCCAAAUUGGUUAUAGCAAUCAUGAAGCAUGAUAUGCCAAGAUUCCUCAUAGGUAGUAUGGAGGUUGGGGAAGCCCACAACACACCUUCUUAAUUAAGAUCAAGGGUCAAUUGAAGCAAUUAAUCCCAAGAAAUCAAUUAGCCUUAAGAAUGAAGGAAUCCCCAAUUCCUAGAGGAUGUCAAAUGCUUACACAUCCAUAAAGGAGAUAUGAUUCAUAAGCUAGAGAUGAUUUCUACCAUCAUAAAGCCUUUGUUCUAGAUAAAUUCAAUGAUCCAAUGCAAAAUCAAUGAAAUAAAUCAACCAUUGCUCAAUCAAAUACUAAGCUCAUGAUCAAAGCAUCAAAUAAGCAUAAGAAUUGCAAACUAGAAUCAUAAACAUGGAAUAAAUUGAUAAUCAACAUAAAUCCUUCAAAACCCACAAACAUUCAUUGGUUUUCAGCCAAAGUCAACCAAAUAAGAGUAUUAGCCACUCAUGGCAACAAAGUAACAAGAACAAUAAUCUAAUUGCAUAAAGAAACUACCUAAGAUUUGGAAAGAUGAAAGGAAAUGGUUUCUAGCUCCCAAAAUCGCCUCUUGCAGGUCUCCAAUGGUGGAAAAACGUGAAUGAGCUUCUAGAUCUGAUCCCCAAGGGUUAUGGCAAGCCAAAUGACCAAAAUGCCCAAACUGGGCAGUUGCGCGG
Molecule: long non-coding RNA, 7375 nt
Filed under: Lactuca sativa (garden lettuce)
Lineage: Eukaryota; Viridiplantae; Streptophyta; Magnoliopsida; Asterales; Asteraceae
Description: long non-coding RNA (LSAT_LNC007248)
Source: RNAcentral